UUGCAGUUGCUUGAAAAGCAUAGGUUAAGCCAUGGUAAUGUGCAAGCUUUUGGCACACCUCGCCGGCUAGUGGUCACAGUUGAGAGUCUGUGUUCUAAACAAGUAGAGAAAGAGUUUGAGGUCAGAGGACCCCCUGUUUCAAAAGCUUUUGAUGACCAAGGAAAUCCUACAAAGGCUGCUGAGGGCUUUUGCCGCAGAUACUCCAUCUCACAUGAAUCGUUGUACAGGAAGAUCGAUGGAAAGACAGAAUAUCUAUAUGCUUGUGUAAUGGAG
Molecule: unclassified non-coding RNA, 273 nt
Filed under: Hevea brasiliensis (rubber tree)
Lineage: Eukaryota; Viridiplantae; Streptophyta; Magnoliopsida; Malpighiales; Euphorbiaceae
Source: RNAcentral